GGGGGGAUAGUGCCAUAGAGAGCGGGGGAUGGGCAACAGUGUUAUCCAGCAUCUCCCUCAGGGAGGAAUGUUCCAGUGUUCAGCUGCUGUCUCCUUAUUUUAAGGACACUACGUGGUAUCAUCACUUAGCUAGUAUCCUCGCUCAGUGUACUACAGGUAUAUAGUACUAAAGGGGGUAGCAUACCUGAGAAUGACUGCCUUACUUCCUGAAGUCUAUGCAUGUCUAUGAAUGGUCAGUUUUAUAAUGCCACGUAUUGUGUGCACUUUGAGACACAUAGGCUGAUGUGGAGUCUGGGAUACUGAUGGGAAAAUGGCAGGAAUGCUGCAUGAUGGGAAUCGUAGUUUGUUUGUGAUUGUUUAAACCCUGAAGGGCAAUGUGAUCUGAUGAAUGUCUUUUAGAGUGGUGCUCUAUUUUCACUUUCUGAUAAACACACACGCACACACAUAUGCACACACACACAUAUACACACAUAAAGUGUUUGCUUGUGUACAAUGCCAAAUGAUAUCAUGAAGUUGAGGUACAUACUUCUCAAAGUGCAUAGUGCAAAGAAUGAAUGGUUAAGCCUAACUCAUACACACAAACACAUUUCCCAUGACAUUAUUCUAUCAUUCUACCCAUUUCAAAAUGCUGCCAGCUUUUCCCAGCAGUCCAUUUCUCUGUCCUACCUACACACACACACACUCACACACACACACACACACACUCACAGUCUCUCAUUUGCACAUUCACACACACACACACACACACACACACAAACACUCACACACACACACACAGAGAAAUGCUUACACACAAGCCUCAUGUGCAGUCAUAUACUGCAUACUUCAGAUCUGUUCUGUAACAUGUCCAUGCUAAUCACAUCAAUGCCAGACCACCCAGACACCAUAGAGUAUAGAGCUUAACAUUUACAGGAAGUCAGACCACCCAGACACCAUAGAGUAUAGAGCUUAACAUUUACAGGAAGUCAGACCACCCAGACAAAAGACACCAUAGAUAGAGUAUAGAGCUUUACAUUUAUAGAAUGGUGAUGUAGUGCUUCAUAGAAAGGAGAUGAAUUGCACUGUGGGAUUACACUUUGCCAGUGUUGUGGGUCGCUUGUAGUGCCAAGCGGCUGAUUCACAGUGUUUAGAGAAUAAUUUCACUAAUUAAUUUGCACUUAAUGACUUUUAAAAGACUAUUGUUUAUUUUUAUUUUUAAUAUAUACCCUGAUUCUACUGUUUUCUCUUGUGUACGGUUCAGCUGGAAUGGGUUUUGGGAGAUUUGUUGCCUUAUCUACAUGUUGCCUCUAGGGGGCAGUGUAACACAGUUAUUCAGUGGCCUGAAAUUGUGGUGAGCUCUCAGCGAAGUGUGGGUGUGAGCGUGCGUGUGUGUGUGUGUGUGUGUGUGUGUGUGUGUGUGUGUGUGUGUGUGUGUGUGUGCCCCUUGAAUGACUUUUAUGCACCUGAGUAUGAGUGGUGUUCUUUCUACUUGAGAGUUAUUGACCAUCUGAUCCACAGGGGCGGCAUGCACUCACCUCUAAUAUAUACAGAGGCAUGGGUGUGUGUGUGUGUGUGUGUGUGUGUGUGUGUGUGUGUGUGUGUGUGUGUG
Long non-coding RNA from Clupea harengus (Atlantic herring), 1588 nucleotides. The record is from Ensembl. NCBI's taxonomy places the organism in Eukaryota, Metazoa, Chordata, Actinopteri, Clupeiformes, Clupeidae.